This 274-nucleotide ribosomal RNA is filed under the name uncultured bacterium. Its description in RNAcentral is "partial 16S ribosomal RNA". It matches the Rfam family "Bacterial small subunit ribosomal RNA", at positions 523 to 796 of the family's 1533-position model. The record is from RNAcentral.
AUACGGAGGGUGCAAGCGUUGUCCGGAUUUAUUGGGUUUAAAGGGUGUGUAGGCGGUGUAUUAAGUCAGUGGUGAAAGCCUGCGGCUCAACCGUAGAACUGCCAUUGAUACUGACACACUUGAGUAUGGACGAGGUAGGCGGAAUUUAUGGUGUAGCGGUGAAAUGCAUAGAUACCAUAAAGAACACCGAUAGCGAAGGCAGCUUACUAGGCCAUAACUGACGCUGAGGCACGAAAGCGUGGGGGGCGAACAGGAUUAGAUACCCCAGUAGUCC